This 495-nucleotide ribosomal RNA is filed under the name uncultured bacterium. RNAcentral's name for it is "partial 16S ribosomal RNA". It matches the Rfam family "Bacterial small subunit ribosomal RNA", at positions 28 to 505 of the family's 1533-position model. The record is from RNAcentral.
GAUGAACGCUGGCGGCGUGCCUAAUACAUGCAAGUCGAGCGAACAGACGAGGAGCUUGCUCCUCUGACGUUAGCGGCGGACGGGUGAGUAACACGUGGAUAACCUACCUAUAAGACUGGGAUAACUUCGGGAAACCGGAGCUAAUACCGGAUAAUAUAUUGAACCGCAUGGUUCAAUAGUGAAAGACGGUUUUGCUGUCACUUAUAGAUGGAUCCGCGCCGCAUUAGCUAGUUGGUAAGGUAACGGCUUACCAAGGCAACGAUGCGUAGCCGACCUGAGAGGGUGAUCGGCCACACUGGAACUGAGACACGGUCCAGACUCCUACGGGAGGCAGCAGUAGGGAAUCUGCCGCAAGGGGCGAAAGCCUGACGGAGCAACGCCGCGUGAGUGAUGAAGGUCUUCGGAUCGUAAAACUCUGUUAUUAGGGAAGAACAAAUGUGUAAGUAACUAUGCACGUCUUGACGGUACCUAAUCAGAAAGCCACGGCUAACUACG